GGCGUGUGACUGCGUACCUUUUGUAUAAUGGGUCAGCGACUUAUAUUCUGUAGCAAGGUUAACCGAAUAGGGGAGCCGAAGGGAAACCGAGUCUUAACUGGGCGUUAAGUUGCAGGGUAUAGACCCGAAACCCGGUGAUCUAGCCAUGGGCAGGUUGAAGGUUGGGUAACACUAACUGGAGGACCGAACCGACUAAUGUUGAAAAAUUAGCGGAUGACUUGUGGCUGGGGGUGAAAGGCCAAUCAAACCGGGAGAUAGCUGGUUCUCCCCGAAAGCUAUUUAGGUAGCGCCUCGUGAAUUCAUCUCCGGGGGUAGAGCACUGUUUCGGCAAGGGGGUCAUCCCGACUUACCAACCCGAUGCAAACUGCGAAUACCGGAGAAUGUUAUCACGGGAGACACACGGCGGGUGCUAACGUCCGUCGUGAAGAGGGAAACAACCCAGACCGCCAGCUAAGGUCCCAAAGUCAUGGUUAAGUGGGAAACGAUGUGGGAAGGCCCAGACAGCCAGGAUGUUGGCUUAGAAGCAGCCAUCAUUUAAAGAAAGCGUAAUAGCUCACUGGUCGAGUCGGCCUGCGCGGAAGAUGUAACGGGGCUAAACCAUGCACCGAAGCUGCGGCAGCGACGCUGAUGCGUUGUUGGGUAGGGGAGCGUUCUGUAAGCCUGCGAAGGUGUGCUGUGAGGCAUGCUGGAGGUAUCAGAAGUGCGAAUGCUGACAUAAGUAACGAUAAAGCGGGUGAAAAGCCCGCUCGCCGGAAGACCAAGGGUUCCUGUCCAACGUUAAUCGGGGCAGGGUGAGUCGACCCCUAAGGCGAGGCCGAAAGGCGUAGUCGAUGGGAAACAGGUUAAUAUUCCUGUACUUGGUGUUACUGCGAAGGGGGGACGGAGAAGGCUAUGUUGGCCGGGCGACGGUUGUCCCGGUUUAAGCGUGUAGGCUGGUUUUCCAGGCAAAUCCGGAAAAUCAAGGCUGAGGCGUGAUGACGAGGCACUACGGUGCUGAAGCAACAAAUGCCCUGCUUCCAGGAAAAGCCUCUAAGCAUCAGGUAACAUCAAAUCGUACCCCAAACCGACACAGGUGGUCAGGUAGAGAAUACCAAGGCGCUUGAGAGAACUCGGGUGAAGGAACUAGGCAAAAUGGUGCCGUAACUUCGGGAGAAGGCACGCUGAUAUGUAGGUGAAGUCCCUCGCGGAUGGAGCUGAAAUCAGUCGAAGAUACCAGCUGGCUGCAACUGUUUAUUAAAAACACAGCACUGUGCAAACACGAAAGUGGACGUAUACGGUGUGACGCCUGCCCGGUGCCGGAAGGUUAAUUGAUGGGGUCAGCGCAAGCGAAGCUCUUGAUCGAAGCCCCGGUAAACGGCGGCCGUAACUAUAACGGUCCUAAGGUAGCGAAAUUCCUUGUCGGGUAAGUUCCGACCUGCACGAAUGGCGUAAUGAUGGCCAGGCUGUCUCCACCCGAGACUCAGUGAAAUUGAACUCGCUGUGAAGAUGCAGUGUACCCGCGGCAAGACGGAAAGACCCCGUGAACCUUUACUAUAGCUUGACACUGAACAUUGAGCCUUGAUGUGUAGGAUAGGUGGGAGGCUU
RNAcentral lists this ribosomal RNA (1584 nucleotides) under Escherichia coli. Its description in RNAcentral is "partial 23S ribosomal RNA". It matches the Rfam family "Bacterial large subunit ribosomal RNA", at positions 588 to 2157 of the family's 2925-position model. Lineage: Bacteria; Pseudomonadati; Pseudomonadota; Gammaproteobacteria; Enterobacterales; Enterobacteriaceae. The record is from RNAcentral.